CACUCCUGCGGGAGGCAGCAGUGGGGAAUUUUGGACAAUGGGCGAAAGCCUGAUCCAGCCAUGCCGCGUGCAGGAUGAAGGCCUUCGGGUUGUAAACUGCUUUUGUACGGAACGAAACGGCCUUUUCUAAUAAAGAGGGCUAAUGACGGUACCGUAAGAAUAAGCACCGGCUAACUACGUGCCAGCAGCCGCGGUAAUACGUAGGGUGCAAGCGUUAAUCGGAAUUACUGGGCGUAAAGCGUGCGCAGGCGGUUAGGUAAGACAGUUGUGAAAUCCCCGGGCUCAACCUGGGAACUGCAUCGGGGACUGCAUAGCUAGAGUACGGUAGAGGGGGAUGGAAUUCCGCGUGUAGCAGUGAAAUGCGUAGAUAUGCGGAGGAACACCGAUGUCGAAGGCAAUCCCCUGGACCUGUACUGACGCUCAUGCACGAAAGCGUGGGGAGCAAACAGGAUUAGAUACCCCGGUAGUCCCAUGA
Molecule: ribosomal RNA, 475 nt
Filed under: uncultured organism
Description: partial 16S ribosomal RNA
Rfam family: Bacterial small subunit ribosomal RNA
Source: RNAcentral